Ailuropoda melanoleuca (giant panda) is the source of this 105-nucleotide small nuclear RNA. The record is from Ensembl. NCBI's taxonomy places the organism in Eukaryota, Metazoa, Chordata, Mammalia, Carnivora, Ursidae.
GUUUGCUUUGGCGGGGCACGUAGUAAAAUUGGAACAAUAUAGAGUAGAUUAGUGUGGCUCCUGCAGAAGGAUGACACACAAAUUUGUGAAGCAUUCCAUAUUAAA